Molecule: ribosomal RNA, 427 nt
Filed under: uncultured beta proteobacterium
Lineage: Bacteria; Pseudomonadati; Pseudomonadota; Betaproteobacteria
Description: bacterial SSU rRNA
Rfam family: Bacterial small subunit ribosomal RNA
Source: RNAcentral
UGGGGAAUAUUGCACAAUGGGCGCAAGCCUGAUGCAGCAAUGCCGCGUGUGUGAAGAAGGCCUUCGGGUUGUAAAGCACUUUCAGACGUGAGGAAAAGUUAAUAGUUAAUAACUGUUAACCCUGACGUUAACGUCAGAAGAAGCACCGGCUAACUCCGUGCCAGCAGCCGCGGUAAUACGGAGGGUGCAAGCGUUAAUCGGAAUUACUGGGCGUAAAGCGUGCGCAGGCUGUUUGACAAGUCAGAUGUGAAAUCCCCGAGCUCAACUUGGGAACUGCGUUUGAAACUGUCAGACUAGAAUAGGUCAGAGGGGGGUAGAAUUCCACGUGUAGCAGUGAAAUGCGUAGAGAUGUGGAGGAAUACCAAUGGCGAAGGCAGCCCCCUGGGAUCAUAUUGACGCUCAUGCACGAAAGCGUGGGGAGCGAACA